CCUACGGGCGGCAGCAGUGGGGAAUAUUGCACAAUGGGGGAAACCCUGAUGCAGCGACGCCGCGUGAAGGAAGAAGUAUUUCGGUAUGUAAACUUCUAUCAGCAGGGAAGAAAAUGACGGUACCUGACUAAGAAGCCCCGGCUAACUACGUGCCAGCAGCCGCGGUAAUACGUAGGGGGCAAGCGUUAUCCGGAUUUACUGGGUGUAAAGGGAGCGUAGGCGGCGAUGCAAGUCAGAAGUGAAAGCCCGGGGCUCAACUCCGGGACUGCUUUUGAAACUGUGUUGCUAGAUUGCAGGAGAGGUAAGUGGAAUUCCUAGUGUAGCGGUGAAAUGCGUAGAUAUUAGGAGGAACACCAGUGGCGAAGGCGGCUUACUGGACUGUAAAUGACGCUGAGGCACGAAGGCCAGGGGAGCGAAAGGGAUUAGAUACCCCUGUAGUG
This 440-nucleotide ribosomal RNA is filed under the name uncultured bacterium. RNAcentral describes it as "partial 16S ribosomal RNA". It matches the Rfam family "Bacterial small subunit ribosomal RNA", at positions 338 to 795 of the family's 1533-position model. The record is from RNAcentral.